GGCGGUGUAGCUCAGUUGGUUAGAGCGUCGGAAUCAUAAUCCGCAGGUCCGGGGUUCAAAUCCCUGCGCCGCUACCA
RNAcentral lists this transfer RNA (77 nucleotides) under Candidatus Cloacimonetes bacterium ADurb.Bin088. RNAcentral describes it as "tRNA-Met". It matches the Rfam family "tRNA". From Rfam's summary of the family: Transfer RNA (tRNA) molecules are approximately 80 nucleotides in length. Their secondary structure includes four short double-helical elements and three loops (D, anti-codon, and T loops). RNAcentral also lists the same sequence under 3 other names. The record is from RNAcentral. Lineage: Bacteria; Pseudomonadati; Candidatus Cloacimonadota.